CUGUGGGCGUCGCCCCCGAGCUCGGACCACGACCUUUCCACCCUCCGUGCCCGCUGUCGCUCCUCGUUGCCGGCCGCCAUCGAUCUUAGCGGCGGUGUCGACGCUUGCAUGGACGAUGCCCUCAAUGUGUUCGGUGAAAUGGGCACACGUGCAAGUGUUGGGAUGGUGACUAUCAUCCACGGGGGCUGGACAUCGAGGUUAUAUCGAGGCUGA
This 213-nucleotide unclassified non-coding RNA is filed under the name Zea mays. RNAcentral's name for it is "misc RNA Zm00001eb209320". The record is from RNAcentral. Lineage: Eukaryota; Viridiplantae; Streptophyta; Magnoliopsida; Poales; Poaceae.